UGCAGCUAGGCACCGCCCAAUCUCCGUACCAAGACGCUGUAAAAAAGGUACUAAAAAGAAGAGAAACAAAAUAGUCAGCGUCUGAUUAUGUUGACGUUUGGUUUGGCUUUUACUUUUGCUUGCUGGAUUUCUUGGUUUGUCUGUCUGCCGGAUGGCACCAAUUGGUGCAAACUUUUACAACGCACCACGUGUUUGAUGAAAUACCAGACUGAGGUGAAAUGAAAGACGGUGUGACUGUGACUCACAACUUCAACAAACAUCAUUAAAUUAGCUUUGACAUCAUUGACACAUGGCGUCUAACCAGUCAGAUCUUUGAUUAAAUAUCGUGAACAGAUAUGUUUAUUUUUAGCCUAAAGGUUUUUGUUUGUUUCAUGGUGGUUAAGAACAAUUGGCCACCAUCCCCCAUGUCACCCCUAGUCUAGUCCCGAUGCUAGACUCAAGCCAUUUUUUCAAUAGAAAUGGGGUUAGCCUUCAAAAGAAUACUUUUUCUCUAGUCCAAGGGUUCAGUCAUGCUUUGGCGUUUGUGGUGGCUUUUGUGACAAUCGAGUCUUGUGGUGACUCAUUUUCUCUAAGUACUUAGUGACUUUGGUCUA
This is a long non-coding RNA of Gossypium raimondii (Peruvian cotton), 593 nucleotides long. RefSeq lists it as uncharacterized. The record is from RefSeq and is a predicted model, not a curated record. Lineage: Eukaryota; Viridiplantae; Streptophyta; Magnoliopsida; Malvales; Malvaceae. The transcript is spliced from 2 exons.